GAUGAACGCUGGCGGCGUGCUUAACACAUGCAAGUCGAACGAGUGGCGGACGUGUGAGUAAUGCUUGGGAAUCUAGCUUAUGGAGGGGGAUAACUACGGGAAACUGUAGCUAAUACCGCGUACCAUAGGAUGAGCCCAAGUGGGGUUAGGUCGGUGGUGAGGUAAAGGCUCACCAAGCCGACGAUCGCUAGCUGGUCUGAGAGGAUGACCAGCCAAACUGGGACGGAGACACGGCCCAGACUCCGACGGGAGGCAGCAAUGGGGAAUAUUGCGCAAUGGGGGCAACCUGACGCAGCCAUGCCGCGUGAAUGAAGAAGGCCUUCGGGUUGUAAAGUGCUUUCGGUAGAGAGGCGUUAACUACAGAAGAAGCACCGGCUAACUCCGUGCCAGCCGCCGCGGUAAUAC
This 405-nucleotide ribosomal RNA is filed under the name uncultured bacterium. RNAcentral's name for it is "partial 16S ribosomal RNA". It matches the Rfam family "Bacterial small subunit ribosomal RNA", at positions 28 to 526 of the family's 1533-position model. The record is from RNAcentral.